Molecule: transfer RNA, 74 nt
Filed under: Chlamydia trachomatis
Lineage: Bacteria; Pseudomonadati; Chlamydiota; Chlamydiia; Chlamydiales; Chlamydiaceae
Description: tRNA-Val(tac)
Rfam family: tRNA
About the family: Transfer RNA (tRNA) molecules are approximately 80 nucleotides in length.
Source: RNAcentral
GGACUCUUAGCUCAGCUGGUAGAGCAUCUCGUUUACACCGAGAGGGUCAUCGGUUCGAGUCCGGUAGGGUCCAC